This 206-nucleotide non-coding RNA is filed under the name Blautia sp. RNAcentral describes it as "T-box sequence". It matches the Rfam family "T-box leader". Rfam says of the family: Uncharged tRNA acts as the effector for transcription antitermination of genes in the T-box leader family. T-boxes are found upstream of many aminoacyl-tRNA synthetase genes and some amino acid biosynthetic genes usually in Gram-positive bacteria. The record is from RNAcentral. Lineage: Bacteria; Bacillati; Bacillota; Clostridia; Lachnospirales; Lachnospiraceae.
AAAACGGCGAUGAUGAGAAUAGUAUUCAGAUUGGACAGUCCACAGAGAGAAAUCAGCAGGUGAGAAGAUUUUACGGAAGAUCUGAAGAACCGGCCUCGGAGCCCCGUACAAUUGAAGUACGGCGUAAUUUCGGCGUUAACGGAAACGAAGAGAGAACAUAUGAAAUGUUAAUCAGGGUGGUACCGCCGGAGUUUCCGGUCCCUUUG